RNAcentral lists this non-coding RNA (111 nucleotides) under Mycobacterium intermedium. Its description in RNAcentral is "SAM-IV sequence". It matches the Rfam family "SAM (S-adenosyl methionine) riboswitch aptamer". Rfam says of the family: SAM-IV is a mRNA element that regulates gene expression via direct sensing of S-adenosylmethionine (SAM or AdoMet). SAM-IV riboswitches share conserved nucleotide positions with the previously described SAM-I riboswitches sequence analysis and molecular recognition experiments suggest that SAM-I and SAM-IV riboswitches share similar ligand binding sites, but have different scaffolds. Lineage: Bacteria; Bacillati; Actinomycetota; Actinomycetes; Mycobacteriales; Mycobacteriaceae. The record is from Rfam by way of RNAcentral.
CUUCAAGAGAUACCGCCUCAAGCUCCGACUGGCGGUGCGCCAACCCCAAGGCUCAUGGGUGGCUCGGAUGACGAAGCGGUCCGCCCCAACCGGUGCGGAUAAGAGCGUCGA